UACGAGGGGGGCGAGCGUUGUUCGGAAUUAUUGGGCGUAAAGGGUGCGUAGGCGGUUCGGUAAGUCUUGUGUGAAAUCCCCGGGCUCAACCUGGGAACUGCAUUCAAAACUGACGAGCUAGAGUAUGGUAGAGGGUGGUGGAAUUUCCUGUGUAGCGGUGAAAUGCGUAGAUAUAGGAAGGAACACCAGUGGCGAAGGCGACCACCUGGACUGAUACUGACACUGAGGUGCGAAAGCGUGGGGAGCAAACAGG
RNAcentral lists this ribosomal RNA (253 nucleotides) under uncultured bacterium. RNAcentral describes it as "partial 16S ribosomal RNA". It matches the Rfam family "Bacterial small subunit ribosomal RNA", at positions 524 to 776 of the family's 1533-position model. The record is from RNAcentral.